This 262-nucleotide ribosomal RNA is filed under the name uncultured prokaryote. Its description in RNAcentral is "partial 16S ribosomal RNA". It matches the Rfam family "Bacterial small subunit ribosomal RNA", at positions 917 to 1178 of the family's 1533-position model. The record is from RNAcentral.
GGGCCCGCACAAGCAGCGGAGCAUGUGGUUUAAUUCGAAGCAACGCGAAGAACCUUACCAGGGCUUGACAUCCCGAUGACUGGUACAGAGAUGUACCUUCCCUUCGGGGCAUUGGAGACAGGUGGUGCAUGGUUGUCGUCAGCUCGUGUCGUGAGAUGUUGGGUUAAGUCCCGCAACGAGCGCAACCCCUAUCCUUAGUUGCCAUCAGUUAAAGCUGGGCACUCUAAAGAGACUGCCGGGGAUAACUCGGAGGAAGGUGGGG